Molecule: ribosomal RNA, 524 nt
Filed under: uncultured bacterium
Lineage: Bacteria
Description: bacterial SSU rRNA
Rfam family: Bacterial small subunit ribosomal RNA
Source: RNAcentral
GGCUAACGCUGGCGGCGUGUCUUAGCCAUGCAAGUCGAGCGGACUUAUGGGGUAACUUAUAAGUCAGCGGCGGACGGCGGAGUAACACGUAGCUAACCUACCCUCUGGACGGGGAUAACCUACCGAAAGGUGGGCUAAUACCCGAUGUAGUCAUCCUGUAUAGGGGUGAUGAAAGGUGGGCUUCUGUUUACAAGCUCAUGCUGGAGGAGGGGGCUGCGGCCUAUCAGGUAGUUGGUAGGGUAAUAGCCUACCAAGCCGAUGACGGGUAGCCGGCCUGAGAGGGUGACCGGCCCGAGGGGCACUGAGAUACGGGUCCCACUCCUACGGGAGGCAGCAGGCUAGAAAUUUGGGCAAUGGGGGAAACCCUGACCCAGUGACGCCGCGUGCAGGAAGGAGCCCUUCGGGGUGUAAACUGCUGUCGUGUAGGGAGAAGGGUACUAAGGUGAACAAUCUUAGUACUUGACGGUACUACAGGAGGAAGCCCAGGCUAACCUCGUGCCAGCAGCCGCGGUAAGUAGCGUACU